ACUUUGCGUUGCACAUUCUGCUAGACCUGAUAUGGGCGCAGUACGCAUGCGCAUAUGUACCUUCCCUCCCCACUUUAGGGCUCUGUACUCGGACGCUCGUCUCGGGCAAUGUUCUGGAUACCUGUCAACAGGGAAAAGGAGCAUAGUGUACUUUCUUAAGAAGCACCUGGAAGACAAGUGCCCUUGAGUCAGUUGGAUGAUGUGGAGGAAGAAGCUGCAUACGGGGAAGCAAGUGUGCCUUGGUUCACAAACACUUGUGCCAUAAUAAAUCACGUUGGUCUUCAAGGUGCCACAAGAUCUUUCUGCAAUGGUUUUAGCUGCAAUGAAAUAACGCAUCUGCCUUUCUGCAAAUGAGAAACUGAGACAAUGGAUGUCUUGAAUUGGUGCCUAAGCAGAAUAAUAGACCAGAUGAAGCCUAAGAAAAUGAAACUCAGUCCAGACAAGAUGGAGGUGCCAUUAGUGAAUGCUUCAUCUGCCCAGUGUAGUGGCAUCUAAUGCAUUACAAUGGGGGUUUCACUCCUCCUGAAGUAUCAGGGUGGUGUUUCAUACAGAGGAUAACCUUGAAGGCAUCCUGUGUCUGAAGGGCUUUCCAGGGACAGCACGAAGAUAAACAAUCAAUUGAAAGAAGAGCUGAGUCUUGAAGUGCCCAUCAAAGGCAGCUGAGCAAUAGAAUGAGCCAGGCGCACAGGUCACCUGGCCACUCUGUGGUGGCAUUCCCUGCAUGUCUAUUUAAAUAAAAAUAAUUAUUUCUAAAUUGCAUCUAUAUAAGCAUAUAUAAUUAUUAUGCAAAUUGGCCACCCCUUUUGUCCUUUUUUUGGUGAUACAUUCCUUCACUGGGGGUGAUUCAACAGCAGCCACCCUAACUCAUACCCUCAGUUCAGCUGCAUCAGGGUGAAGAAAGAGCAGAGUUUUCCUUUUGCAUUUCUCACUGUUCAGACUGGAAGAGGUGCUUCAGUCCCCAGAUGGUUUGAGGAGGUCUCCAAGCUGGCACCUUCUGGAAGUCUUCGGCUAUAUCCUCUACAUUGCUGUCAGGGGAUGAUAGGAGCUACAGCCCAGCAUACCUGGAGGGUUCCAGGUUGUGUAAAGCUGGUCUGGAAUGUGAUCUGUGUGCGUUCUUUAGCAUUCCAUCUCCUCUGUAUCACACUGCAUGUGAAGUUCAAUGUGUCACAUUCAGAAGCUGAUUCUUUCCUAAAUUUAGUAGAUGGCUGUGGUGUUGGUACUGGGGGAAAAUCAAUGGUUCUUUCACAAGAUGUGAGAUAGGGCAGUGUCAUGCUUUCCUUCCUUGCUGCAGCCCUGAGGCAAAGCACCUGCCAGUAAUAACCGCCCACCUCUGAUGCAUAGUUAAUCAGUUUCCAUAGAAUGGUAGAGCUGGAAAGGGCCAGAGGGCCACUGGGUCCAACCUCUGCUCAGUGCAGGACUCCCAGUUGAACCAUCCCUCUCAGAUGGCUGUCCAAGUGCAUCCAGAAUGCCUCUACUCUGGGAGAACCACAGCAUCUCCAGCCAGGUUCCAACACUGAAGGGAAGUCCAGUUCAAGGGAACAAUAGUGUGUGGGGCUGUAUGUGGGUCAGUGGAAGGGGGAGGCACCAGCCACAAUUCCUACCCCCAUGCAGUGUAGAAGAGGACACUUCUAUCUCUCACACUCAUUCUUUUGUGUCAUGUUUGCCCCCACAAUUCAGCUACCUUAGCAAUACAGGAUGUGUAUUUGCCAGGACAGUAUCUCAUUUCAGUCUUAGAAAACACCUUGACUAGAUCAGUGUGCAGAGUUUUCCGGAGGUGUCCCUUUCUCCUUGAGAGUUACAUGAUUAGGCAGAGUUAUUUAAUAGAGUCACAUGAAAAUGCCUUUAAGUGGGACAAGGUGACUGACCACAUAUCUUUGUGCCACCAGGGAACUUCUACAAGUGUGUUUAGGCCAGUUGCCACACAACAAACUUUAUGAAGCUACUUUGAUGGAUGAAGCAGAAACUAAGGAAAGAUUCGGAAGUUCUGAAGUUCCUGGUGGCUUUGCUUUGCAUCAGAAAAUGCAGUGUGUAUUUUAUGGGCGCCUGCACUGACUUAUGUAAAUAACAUUCAUCACCUUUGUUUGGAGGAAAUAGAAGUGAUUUUUCACAUGCA
This is a long non-coding RNA of Varanus komodoensis (Komodo dragon), 2113 nucleotides long. RefSeq lists it as uncharacterized. The record is from RefSeq and is a predicted model, not a curated record. The transcript is spliced from 4 exons. NCBI's taxonomy places the organism in Eukaryota, Metazoa, Chordata, Lepidosauria, Squamata, Varanidae.